CCUACGGGAGGCAGCAGUGAGGAAUAUUGGUCAAUGGGCGCGAGCCUGAACCAGCCAAGUAGCGUGCAGGAUGACGGCCCUAUGGGUUGUAAACUGCUUUUAUGCGGGGAUAAAGUGCACCACGUGUGGUGUUUUGUAGGUACCGCAUGAAUAAGGACCGGCUAAUUCCGUGCCAGCAGCCGCGGUAAUA
This 190-nucleotide ribosomal RNA is filed under the name uncultured rumen bacterium. RNAcentral's name for it is "partial 16S ribosomal RNA". It matches the Rfam family "Bacterial small subunit ribosomal RNA", at positions 338 to 525 of the family's 1533-position model. The record is from RNAcentral.